This 586-nucleotide ribosomal RNA is filed under the name uncultured bacterium. Its description in RNAcentral is "partial 16S ribosomal RNA". It matches the Rfam family "Bacterial small subunit ribosomal RNA", at positions 355 to 1376 of the family's 1533-position model. The record is from RNAcentral.
UGGGGAAUUUUGGACAAUGGGCGAAAGCCUGAUCCAGCAAUGCCGCGUGUGUGAAGAAGGCCUUCGGGUUGUAAAGCACUUUUGUCCGGAAAGAAAUCCUUGGCUCUAAUACAGUCGGGGGAUGACGGUACCGGAAGAAUAAGCACCGGCUAACUACGUGCCAGCAGCCGCGGUAAUACGUAGGGUGCAAGCGUUAAUCGGAAUUACUGGGCGUAAAGCGUGCGCAGGCGGUUUGCUAAGACCGAUGUGAAAUCCCCGGGCUCAACCUGGGAACUGCAUUGGUGACUGGCGGGCUAGAGUAUGGCAGAGGGGGGUAGAAUUCCACGUGUAGCAGUGAAAUGCGUAGAGAUGUGGAGGAAUACCGAUGGCGAAGGCAGCCCCCUGGGCCAAUACUGACGCUCAUGCACGAAAGCGUGGGGAGCAAACAGGAUUAGAUACCCUGGUAGUCCACGCCCUAAACGAUGUCAACUAGUUGUUGGGGAUUCAUUUCCUUAGUAACGUAGCUAACGCGUGAAGUUGACCGCCUGGGGAGUACGGUCGCAAGAUUAAAACUUAAAUGAAUUGACGGGGUCAUAGCUGUUUCCUG